GAAAAUUUUGGUGCCAUUAUUAGUUUUUUGACCCUAUAAAAGUUUGGGAAAAAGACUCCAAAAUUUCCAAGUUUGCUCGCCAAGAUUUUUCUUAUUGCAUAAUUUUAAAGUGCACAAGAGUUAUGGCGAUCGUCAAGAUUUCGCCACAAAUCCUGACUGAUAGCCAAAACAUUUCAGCAUUAUGGCUGAAAAUUAUGGUGAUUGUCAUAAUUUUGUUGCUUCAAAAUUCUAGCGAUAAAAAUUCUAGUGAUCGUCAGAAAUUUUCAUGCUUCAAUAUUUUGGUGGGUGCUACACAAUACAGGAAAGCAUGCUUUAACAUUCAGACGAGGGGCUACUUUUCCAAAAUGAGAGAGAAAUUAAUGGGGUCAAAAUAUCAACAAUAAUUUAAGAAAAGUUCCAUCUCGCACAACUUUCAUGAAUCAGAAUGUAGUUCUAUUUCUCGGUUUCUCAGUGUUCAAUAACCAUAUAGAGGUCCCAGCCUAAUUCUGAUUCGCGUCACAUAGGAACCUGUGGUUAAAGAUGGAUGGAUCAAUUCUUGGUGGUUAGAGGGUCUUUAGUGGAAUUAGUUCCAUCACUCCCUUUUCUGAGUUAUAGCCUCGCUGUGUCCAACCCAAUAAUGGUAUUAAUACUUUAAGUUAUUUCGUCUUCCAUGUAAAUUGCAAAAUUGACAAAGAAGUCAGCAAUAUUCAACUACCUAGUAAGUGUACACAUAUAGUGUGAAAUCGCCUCAUCUUGUGCUUAUGUACCGUCAUUCGUAUGGCUUUUGAUGUGUUUGAGCUUGUUACAUGCUUUUUAUUUGUGACGAAAGAAGACUGAAAGAGAUCAAUCUGGAGAAAAAGUUGAGUGAAGAACACAAAGAAGUUACAGGGCCAGGUCAAUGCCCCUGCUCGCACCAGAAACAGGUAUGGACAAAAAGAAGCUAGCUUCUGGCAGAGGCAGUAAAACCAAUGAAUCCAGGCUCCCAUCCCGAGGACUGUUAGGAAAGACCUAAGGCAGCUCGUCUGCAUCCUCUCAUGAUGCGAUAAUUGAGAAUUGGUCAAACGCGACUCAUGCAAACCCUAAAUCAUAUAAAUACAUCUUAGAAUGGUGUUUUUUUGGGGAGACAAUACAUUUAAAGGUAAGAACGCGCGAAGGGCGAUGCCAAACGGAUUCGCCACCGAGUUUUCAUUCUUCAACUUAUUUCUCUUCUUGGUUAUAAUUUUUACAUAUUAUUAUGAGCAGCCACAUUUUUACUCUAGGGUUUGAUGAAACUGAUUUUUGGAUGAAUUCUUGAUUAUGGUUGAUUAAUAAUUGAGUCGUUUUAAUCUUUACUUAUUCAACUAUAUUUUGACUAUAAUUAAUUAAAG
RNAcentral lists this long non-coding RNA (1346 nucleotides) under Nicotiana benthamiana. Its description in RNAcentral is "long non-coding RNA (NBEN_LNC020042)". Lineage: Eukaryota; Viridiplantae; Streptophyta; Magnoliopsida; Solanales; Solanaceae. The record is from RNAcentral.